UGCAGUCGAGCGAACUGAUUAGAAGCUUGCUUCUAUGACGUUAGCGGCGGACGGGUGAGUAACACGUGGGCAACCUGCCUGUAAGACUGGGAUAACUUCGGGAAACCGAAGCUAAUACCGGAUAGGAUCUUCUCCUUCAUGGGAGAUGAUUGAAAGAUGGUUUCGGCUAUCACUUACAGAUGGGCCCGCGGUGCAUUAGCUAGUUGGUGAGGUAACGGCUCACCAAGGCAACGAUGCAUAGCCGACCUGAGAGGGUGAUCGGCCACACUGGGACUGAGACACGGCCCAGACUCCUACGGGAGGCAGCAGUAGGGAAUCUUCCGCAAUGGACGAAAGUCUGACGGAGCAACGCCGCGUGAGUGAUGAAGGCUUUCGGGUCGUAAAACUCUGUUGUUAGGGAAGAACAAGUACGAGAGUAACUGCUUGUACCUUGACGGUACCUAACCAGAAAGCCACGGCUAACUACGUGCCAGCAGCCGCGGUAAUACGUAGGUGGCAAGCGUUAUCCGGAAUUAUUGGGCGUAAAGCGCGCGCAGGCGGUUUCUUAAGUCUGAUGUGAAAGCCCACGGCUCAACCGUGGAGGGUCAUUGGAAACUGGGGAACUUGAGUGCAGAAGAGAAAAGCGGAAUUCCACGUGUAGCGGUGAAAUGCGUAGAGAUGUGGAGGAACACCAGUGGCGAAGGCGGCUUUUUGGUCUGUAACUGACGCUGAGGCG
RNAcentral lists this ribosomal RNA (715 nucleotides) under Priestia aryabhattai. RNAcentral describes it as "bacterial SSU rRNA". It matches the Rfam family "Bacterial small subunit ribosomal RNA", at positions 56 to 753 of the family's 1533-position model. Lineage: Bacteria; Bacillati; Bacillota; Bacilli; Caryophanales; Bacillaceae. The record is from RNAcentral.